Non-coding RNA from Pelobates cultripes (western spadefoot toad), 217 nucleotides. Lineage: Eukaryota; Metazoa; Chordata; Amphibia; Anura; Pelobatidae. The record is from the annotation of a GenBank genome assembly.
AAGUUACCAAGUUGCCAACUUGGUCUCAUAGGCUUCCACUUGAGACAUCAGGCUCUCCACCUUAGUUGCCAGGUCAUAGUUCUGCCAUUUUAUCCUCUAUGUUAGAGGUUCUUGUUCCUAGACCUAGAAGGUCCUUACAAAGGUUGCCAAUGAACAUCUGCAAGUGGUUUUGCAGACAUAUCGUCUAACAUCGUUUGCAUUGCCGCUUGAGUUACUG